This 527-nucleotide ribosomal RNA is filed under the name uncultured bacterium. RNAcentral's name for it is "bacterial SSU rRNA". It matches the Rfam family "Bacterial small subunit ribosomal RNA", at positions 382 to 921 of the family's 1533-position model. The record is from RNAcentral.
CCUGACGUAGCGACACCGCGUGAGACGAAGAAGCCCCUUGGGGUGUAAAGCUCUGUCAGCUGGAACGAAAAAAAUGACGGUACCAGCAGAGGAAGCAUCGGCUAACUACGUGCCAGCAGCCGCGGUAAGACGUAGGAUGCAAGCGUUGUCCGGAUUUAUUGGGCGUAAAGAGUUCGUAGGUGGUUUGUUAAGUUUGGUGUUAAAGAUUGGGGCUCAACCCUGAAACUGCACUGAAUACUGGCAGACUCGAGUGUGGUAGAGGCUAGUGGAAUUCCCAGUGUAGCGGUGAAAUGCGUAGAUAUUGGGAAGAACACCGGUGGCGUAGGCGACUAGCUGGGCCAUAACUGACACUGAGGAACGAAAGCCAGGGGAGCGAAUGGGAUUAGAUACCCCAGUAGUCCUGGCCGUAAACGAUGGAUACUAGGCGUAUCGGGUAUCGACCCCUGAUGUGCCGCAGCUAACGCGAUAAGUAUCCCGCCUGAGUAGUACGGCCGCAAGGUUGAAACUCAAAGGAAUUGACGGGGGGC